AAAACGGACAAGAAACAUAAUCACGCACAAACACAGACAUCCUACGCUAAACUAAAUAACCCCCCCCCCCCUACUAAUAACUAACCCAAAACAGGUGCGUGCCUACCUAGACCUAACCAACAGAAAGUGAAACAAAAAAGGAUCGAUGGCAGCUAGUAGGCCGGCGACGACGACCGCUGAGCUCCGCCCGGCCGAGGAGGGGCGCCACCAUCCGUCGGUGUCGUGACAUUGGAGGAGCGUCUUCUGGAGCUGCAGGAGCUGGAGACGCGGGUGCAGGAGGUCUGGGAGGAGUGGAGGCUGUUGUACCAGGAGGAAGUAGAGAUCCUAAGGCUACAGAGGGAACUGGAGCAGGCAGAGCACUGGCUCAGUACCUACGAAGCCACUCUGAGGGCAGAGGAGUACGGGGUGAAGACAGCCCAGUUAAAAGCAAGCCUUUAGCUCAGUGGGCUAACACACACUUGUGGUGCGCAGGAGACCUGGGUUUGAACUUAGACUCUGUGUCAGACAUUCUGGAGUGGAUGAAGAAACAGGAGGACUUAGGGGCUAUGAUUCAAGCCCAAAGUGACAGGUUCAGCACCUCACAGAAAAAGAUGACAAACGAAAAGAUGACUUUUGCAUGAAUACAGUAGAUAACUCACACGUCUAGAUCCAAGAUGGCGUAGCAGUGCAGACGUUGUUUGUCGUUCUCCCGGAUACAUUUUGUAUUUUUCGUCUGUUUUGUAUAUAUUUAAAUUUAUUUUCAAUCUCUUUUUCCAUUUUUAAAUUAAAUAUACCUUCUGGCAACCCGCCUCACCCAAUGUGAUACGGAUCUGCUAUUUUUAGACCUUAUAGACAGAACCUCCAUCAAAAGCUAACCAGCUAAUUAGCUACUAGCUAUUUAGUCAUUGUUUGCCACUGCUAGCGGCCUUUACCUUUUGCACAGUCACCAGUCGCUUUUAGCCUCGAUAAUACUUGCCAGCCUGCCAGUAUCGGACUGUUUUCUCCAUUACAACACCGGAUUCCUGCCGUAAGCCCUGGACCAUUACCCCUGAUCAUCACAGCUAGCUAGCUGCCACCGAGUGGCCCAGCCCCGAAGCUAGCCUUGAGCCUCCCGGCCUGCUCAGUGACUACUCGGCUACACAGCUGAUGCCUCCCGGACUCUUCACUAACACGACUAGAAUCCACUGCUCCACCGGAUUCUUGCCGUAAGCUCUGGACCUUUGCAUCGGAUCAUUGCUGCUAGCUAGCUGCUACCGAGUGGCUAUAGUGGCAAACGCCCUGGUCCCGAAGCUAGCACCAGUUAGCCGAGAGCCAGGCGCAUCUCCCGGCUAGCAAACUAAAUUACUCCAGCUACACUACCUCGUUUGCCAACUGGCCUGGACCCUUUGUCGACACGGAGCCCCGCCGUUCCAUCACGACUGGUCUGCCG
RNAcentral lists this long non-coding RNA (1408 nucleotides) under Salmo salar (Atlantic salmon). RNAcentral describes it as "lncRNA (ENSSSAG00000096403.1)". Lineage: Eukaryota; Metazoa; Chordata; Actinopteri; Salmoniformes; Salmonidae. The record is from RNAcentral.